Long non-coding RNA from Brachypodium distachyon (stiff brome), 796 nucleotides. RefSeq lists it as uncharacterized. The transcript is spliced from 2 exons. The record is from RefSeq and is a predicted model, not a curated record. NCBI's taxonomy places the organism in Eukaryota, Viridiplantae, Streptophyta, Magnoliopsida, Poales, Poaceae.
GCCUGCGGGUGCACCUGCACGGACGUCGGACGGACAGUACAGACAUUAACGGUCGGUCGUGUACGCAUCUCAAAGAUCUCAAGAUCGACGGCUCAGAUGGUAUACAUUAUACACUCAGGUCUCCAUGUGCAAGGACAGAUUCACGUACUGAUCGAUGUGGCUUCUAACUUUGGGACGUGAUUAGGCUAUGGAUGUUGGAAUGAUACAAAUCGGUAGGCGUAGAUUUUGAGCUGGUGGACCAUGAUCAAAUCCUGAAAAGGACAAAUGCACAGAAGGAUCCCCGCAGGACAGGAACACGGGUAGGUUUUGGAUGGACAAUUUUACUGCUCGAUCCAACCAUGAAGCUGGCCAGGCAGCUCACACGCAUAAAAGAAAUCCUUACAGGAGUGUGCAGAAGUUGAUCGCCAAAAUUGUACUCGUAUACCAACAUUUCGAUGACAUUGAUGUAUAUGAAUAAACAAUGAUAUAUGUAUUUUAAAGGACGUACUCCCGAGUAAGAAGAUAAACAUUCUUUUAAAGGACUGACGUAAAUUUAUAAGUGUAUGAUAAGUAGUUUAAGUCAGGACAGGACUUAAGUUUGAUCUAAAAAAAGUAGUUUAAAUGAUAUAAUAGAUCGAGUGGCAAGUCAGGGGAUUGUACGAUUUUCAAAAGAAUUUUGUAGGAUUCUAGUUCUUAGAAAUUGUUCUGAUAAGAGCCAUUUGGAUGAUAGGAAUGGAGUUGCCAAAAUCCCUUACAUGAGCUCGAACCUUGUUUUUUUUUUCUUUCCUUUGAGAAGUCCAAUGCACUUGUGCUUGCA